AGCCUGAUGCAGCCAUGCCGCGUGUAUGAAGAAGGCCUUCGGGUUGUAAAGUACUUUCAGCAGUGAGGAAGGGGUGUACGUUAAUAGCGUGCAUUCUUGACGUUAGCUGCAGAAGAAGCACCGGCUAACUCCGUGCCAGCAGCCGCGGUAAUACGGAGGGUGCGAGCGUUAAUCGGAAUUACUGGGCGUAAAGCGCAUGCAGGUGGUUUGUUAAGUCAGAUGUGAAAGCCCGGGGCUCAACCUCGGAAUAGCAUUUGAAACUGGCAGGCUAGAGUACUGUAGAGGGGGGUAGAAUUUCAGGUGUAGCGGUGAAAUGCGUAGAGAUCUGAAGGAAUACCAGUGGCGAAGGCGGCCCCCUGGACAGAUACUGACACUCAGAUGCGAAAGCGUGGGGAGCAAACAGGAUUAGAUACCCUGGUAGUCCACGCCGUAAACGAUGUCUACUUGGAGGUUGUGGCCUUGAGCCGUGGCUUUCGGAGCUAACGCGUUAAGUAGACCGCCUGGG
RNAcentral lists this ribosomal RNA (505 nucleotides) under Vibrio sp. 1Bb5S39. Its description in RNAcentral is "bacterial SSU rRNA". It matches the Rfam family "Bacterial small subunit ribosomal RNA", at positions 380 to 877 of the family's 1533-position model. The record is from RNAcentral. RNAcentral also lists the same sequence under 1 other name. Lineage: Bacteria; Pseudomonadati; Pseudomonadota; Gammaproteobacteria; Vibrionales; Vibrionaceae.